Molecule: ribosomal RNA, 464 nt
Filed under: uncultured bacterium
Lineage: Bacteria
Description: SSU rRNA
Rfam family: Bacterial small subunit ribosomal RNA
Source: RNAcentral
AGGAUUAACGCUGGCGGCGUGCCUAACACAUGCAAGUCGAACGAGGGGGGCAACCCCCGAGUGGCAGACGGGUGAGUAACGCGUGGUCAACCUACCCUAGAGUGGGGAAUAACUAGCCGAAAGGUUAGCUAAUACCGCAUGAUACGUUUUGGGACAUCCCAGGACGUUGAAAGGAGCAAUCCGCUCGAGGACGGGACCGCGUCCGAUUAGCUAGUUGGUGAGGUAACGGCCCACCAAGGCUCCGAUCGGUAGCUGGUUUGAGAGAGCGACCAGCCACACUGGGACUGAGAAACGGCCCAGACUCCUACGGGAGGCAGCAGUGAGGAAUUUCCGCAAUGGGCGAAAGCCUGACGGAGCGACGCCGCGUGUGGGAAGAAGGCCUUCGGGUCGUAAACCACUGUCGAAGGGGACUAUACUGAAGGUACCCUUGGAGGAAGCCCGGCUAACUACGUGCCAGCAGCCGC